GAUGAACGCUGACUGAAGGCUUAACACAUGCAAGUCGAUGGGAAAGUGGUGCUUGCGCCAGGGUAACCAUGGCGGACAGGUGAGUAACGCGUAAGGAACUUGCCUGCGGGACCGGGAUAACAGCAGGAAACUGCUGACAAGACCGGAUAAGGUCAUUAAGCCGCAGAUCUCAGUGAUGAAAGGAAACUCCAGCGGAGAGCCUUGCGUCCUAUUAUCUAUCUGAAGGGGUAACGGCCCACCAAAGCGAACACCGGUGGCCCGCCUGAUAGGGUGGACGGCCACAAGGGGACUGAGGUACGGCCCUUACUCCUACCGGAGGCCGCACUGGGGAAUAUUGGACAAUGGGGGCAACCCUGAUCCAGCAAUUCUGUGUGCACGAAGACGGUUUUCGGAUUGUAAAGUGCUUUCAGCAGGGAAGAAUUGAAUGACGGUACCUGCAGAAGAAGCGACGGCUAUGUACGUGCCAGCAGCCGCGGAAUACGUAUGUCGCGAGCGUUAUCCGGAAUUAUUGGGCAUGAAGGGCAUCUAUGCGGACUUUCAGGUCUGGGGUGAAAACCUGCGGGUCAACCGCAGGUCUGGCUUUGAGUCUGAUCUGCUGGAGUACCGGACAGGUGGACGGAACUGCACGAAUAAAGCUGAAAUUCGUAGAUAUGUGCAGGAAUGCCGAUAAUGAUAUAAUUCACUGGACAGUUACUGACGCUGAAGUGCGAGAGCCGGGGGAGCGAACAGG
Molecule: ribosomal RNA, 730 nt
Filed under: uncultured Leptotrichia sp.
Lineage: Bacteria; Fusobacteriati; Fusobacteriota; Fusobacteriia; Fusobacteriales; Leptotrichiaceae
Description: bacterial SSU rRNA
Rfam family: Bacterial small subunit ribosomal RNA
Source: RNAcentral